UACGUAGGGUGCGAGCGUUGUCCGGAAUUACUGGGCGUAAAGAGCUCGUAGGUGGUUUGUCGCGUUGUUCGUGAAAACUCACAGCUUAACUGUGGGCGUGCGGGCGAUACGGGCAGACUGGAGUACUGCAGGGGAGACUGGAGUUCCUGGUGUAGCGGUGGAAUGCGCAGAUAUCAGGAGGAACACCGGUGGCGAAGGCGGGUCUCUGGGCCGUAACUGACGCUGAGGAGCGAAAGCGUGGGGAGCGAACAGG
This 253-nucleotide ribosomal RNA is filed under the name uncultured bacterium. RNAcentral's name for it is "partial 16S ribosomal RNA". It matches the Rfam family "Bacterial small subunit ribosomal RNA", at positions 524 to 776 of the family's 1533-position model. The record is from RNAcentral.